Molecule: ribosomal RNA, 139 nt
Filed under: uncultured eukaryote
Lineage: Eukaryota
Description: partial 18S ribosomal RNA
Rfam family: Eukaryotic small subunit ribosomal RNA
Source: RNAcentral
UGGUGGAGCGAUUUGUCUGGUUAAUUCCGAUAACGAACGAGACUCUAGCCUAUUAAAUAGUUCGCCGUAUCACGUUACGUCGGCGUCAACUUCUUAGAGGGACAAGUGGCGUUUAGCCACGCGAGAUUGAGCAAUAACA